Molecule: unclassified non-coding RNA, 364 nt
Filed under: uncultured bacterium
Lineage: Bacteria
Description: contains 16S-23S intergenic spacer region
Source: RNAcentral
UCCCGGUUUGUCCGGGCAGUCUCGCCAGAAAAAUACAACUAAUCACAAGGGUUGCGCUCGUUGAUGGACUUAACCAAACAUCUCACGACACGAGCUGACGACGGCCAUGCAACAUCUGUCACUUGGUUCAAUAAAGCACUCACUACUUUCGUAGUAAUUCCAAGGAUGUCAAACCCUGGUAAGGUUCUUCGUUUAGCAUCGAAUUAAAGAACAUAAUCCACCGCUUGUGCGGCUCCCCGUCAAUUCCUUUAUGUUUUAGUCUUGCGACCGUACUCCACAGGCGGGAUACUUAACGCGUUAGCUUCGCUACUGAAGGGGUCGAUACCUCCAACAGCUAGUAUCCAUCGUUUACGGCGUGGACUAC